UAAUACGGAGGGUGCAAGCGUUAUCCGGAUUCACUGGGUUUAAAGGGUGCGUAGGUGGGUUGGUAAGUCCGUGGUGAAAUCUCCGAGCUUAACUCGGAAACUGCCGUGGAUACUAUCAAUCUUGAAUACUGUGGAGGUAAGCGGAAUAUGUCAUGUAGCGGUGAAAUGCUUAGAUAUGACAUAGAACACCGAUAGCGAAGGCAGCUUGCUACACAGUUAUUGACACUGAGGCACGAAAGCGUGGGGAGCAAACAGGAUUAGAUACCCUGGUAGUCCACGCCCUAAACGAUGAUUACUCGACAUACGCGAUACACUGUGUGUGUCUGAGCGAAAGCAUUAAGUAAUCCACCUGGGAAGUACGACCGCAAGGUUG
RNAcentral lists this ribosomal RNA (373 nucleotides) under uncultured bacterium. RNAcentral's name for it is "bacterial SSU rRNA". It matches the Rfam family "Bacterial small subunit ribosomal RNA", at positions 521 to 896 of the family's 1533-position model. The record is from RNAcentral.